AAGCCGUGCGAUGAGCACAUAACAAACUAUUCUUUCGCUUUUUACUAAAGAAUAACGUGUGCUCGCCGCUGAAAGUGCAAGUCGUCAUUGGUCAACAUACAAAAUGAGAUUUUCUGG
This is a small nuclear RNA of Pistacia vera, 117 nucleotides long. RefSeq annotates it as U5 spliceosomal RNA. Lineage: Eukaryota; Viridiplantae; Streptophyta; Magnoliopsida; Sapindales; Anacardiaceae. The record is from RefSeq and is a predicted model, not a curated record. The transcript has a single exon.